GACGAACGCUGGCGGCGUGCUUAACACAUGCAAGUCGAACGGGAUUUAGUAGACAGAAGCCUCGGCUAAAGAUUACUAAUGAGAGUGGCGAACGGGUGAGUAACGCGUGAGCAACCUGCCUAUGACAGUGGGAUAGCCUCGGGAAACCGGGAUUAAUACCGCAUAAAAUCGUAGAAACACAUGUUUUAACGGUCAAAGAUUUAUCGGUCAUAGAUGGGCUCGCGUCUGAUUAGCUAGUUGGUGAGAUAACAGCCCACCAAGGCGACGAUCAGUAGCCGGUCUGAGAGGAUGAACGGCCACAUUGGAACUGAGACACGGUCCAAACUCCUACGGGAGGCAGCAGUGGGGAAUAUUGCACAAUGGGGGAAACCCUGAUGCAGCGACGCCGCGUGAACGAAGAAGGUAUUCGUAUCGUAAAGUUCUGUCCUAUGGGAAGAUAAUGACAGUAUCAUAGAAGAAAGCUCCGGCUAAAUACGUG
RNAcentral lists this ribosomal RNA (478 nucleotides) under uncultured bacterium. Its description in RNAcentral is "partial 16S ribosomal RNA". It matches the Rfam family "Bacterial small subunit ribosomal RNA", at positions 28 to 507 of the family's 1533-position model. The record is from RNAcentral.